This 372-nucleotide ribosomal RNA is filed under the name uncultured organism. Its description in RNAcentral is "partial 16S ribosomal RNA". It matches the Rfam family "Bacterial small subunit ribosomal RNA", at positions 527 to 896 of the family's 1533-position model. The record is from RNAcentral.
GUAGGGUGCAAGCGUUAAUCGGGAAUUACUGGGGCGUAAAGCGUGCGCAGGCGGUUGUGCAAGACAGAUGUGAAAUCCCCGGGGCUCAACCUGGGAAUUGCAUUUGUGACUGUACGGCUAGAGUGUGUCAGAGGGGGGUAGAAUUCCACGUGUAGCAGUGAAAUGCGUAGAGAUGUGGAGGAAUACCGAUGGCGAAGGCAGCCCCCUGGGAUAACACUGACGCUCAUGCACGAAAGCGUGGGGAGCAAACAGGAUUAGAUACCCUGGUAGUCCACGCCCUAAACGAUGUCAACUAGUUGUCGGGUCUUAAUUGACUUGGUAACGCAGCUAACGCGUGAAGUUGACCGCCUGGGGAGUACGGUCGCAAGAUUA